RNAcentral lists this ribosomal RNA (1098 nucleotides) under uncultured archaeon. RNAcentral's name for it is "partial 16S ribosomal RNA". It matches the Rfam family "Archaeal small subunit ribosomal RNA", at positions 319 to 1478 of the family's 1478-position model. The record is from RNAcentral.
GUUUUCACGGAACCAAUCUAACACAAUCGCGCGAAAGCGCGAGGGGUUAUCCCGAGUGCCGUCGGUGAAAGAGGUUUCUAAGGGAAAGGGCGGGGGAAAAGGGGAGGGCAAGUCUGGGGUCACCCGGGGGGGAAUACCAGUUCUCCAAGUAGUAAGGAUUUUUAUUGGGCUUAAAGCGCCCGUAGCCGGUUAACUAAUCCUCCGUGGGGUUCGGGGGAUUGAUUGGUGGGGGGGGGGGGGGGGGUGUUGAUCUGGGGGGGGGGGGGGGCCAACGUUUUUUCCGGAGAAGGGGUGAAACCCAAAAUUUCCGGGAGAACAACCAUUGGGAAAGGCGGUGGGUUGAGGGGGGUUAAACGGGAAGGAUAAAAAAGUUGGGCAACCCCAACCGAAUUAGAAACCCGGGUAAACCCCGGUGGUAAAGGAAUGGGGCUUAGGGGUAAGGGGGGUUACAACCCCCCUCUAGGGCCGGGGCGAGGGCUUUAAGCCCCCCCCUUGAAAAGAAGGGGCGAAAGGCUGAAACUAAAGGCAAUGGGGGGGAAAUUACCCUAGGGGUAAAACUUUUUUUUUAAUUGGAGCCACCCCGGGAAACUUAACCGGGGCCCCCACCAAUUUAAAGGCAAAAUAAGGUUUUUCCCGGACAACUUAGGGGGGGGGGGCUUGGCCUUUGUCCAUUCGGUUUUUAAGGAAACCUGUUUAUUCCUGCAACAAUCGAAACCCCAACCCCCUGGUGGUCCAGGGGAAGUUUCCAAGGAAAAUUUGGGGGGACUGCCUCCAAAAAAAAAAGGAAGAAUUCCCCACCCCCGCUCCCUUGCCCCAAACCCCCGGGGUUAAGGGGCGUAAAAAGGCAGAAAAAUGGACUUCAACCCAAAGGGGGGGGGAUGUGGAAACCCGGCCCUUCUUCGAACGAGGGUUGAAUUCCCCCCCUAAACUGGAUCGUAGUUUCCUUAUAUCUUCUCCUGAAAAUGCCCCAGUACUUGAAAACACAAGAGGCCAUUGGUAUACCCUCUGGAGUUGGUCGUUUAGUGAGGUGUAUCCUACGCUCUGGCCAAUAGGGUCAUUUGUUUAUACGAGAAAUAUGUGGGAUCACCUCCGCCGUCA